GUUUAGUGUGGUGCUGAAGCACGUCAUAUUUUGGUUGUGGAGGAAGCUUGUUGCUCACUUUUCU
Molecule: transfer RNA, 64 nt
Filed under: Schyzocotyle nayarensis
Lineage: Eukaryota; Metazoa; Platyhelminthes; Cestoda; Bothriocephalidea; Bothriocephalidae
Description: tRNA-Gln
Source: RNAcentral